AUUGAACGCUGGCGGCAGGCCUAAUACAUGCAAGUCGAACGGUAACAUAAGAGAAGCUUGCUUUUCUUGAUGACGAGUGGCGGACGGGUGAGUAAGAUUUGGGAAGCUACCUGAUAGAGGGGGACAACAGUUGGAAACGACUGCUAAUACCGCAUACAGCCUCAGGGUGAAAGAAGCGAUUCGCUAUCAGAUGUGCCCAAACGGGAUUAGCUAGUAGGUGAGGUAAAGGCUCACCUAGGCGACGAUCUCUAGCUGGUCUGAGAGGAUGAUCAGCCACAUUGGGACUGAGACACGGCCCAGACUCCUACGGGAGGCAGCAGUAGGGAAUAUUGCACAAUGGAGGAAACUCUGAUGCAGCCAUGCCGCGUGUGUGAAGAAGGCCUUC
This 385-nucleotide ribosomal RNA is filed under the name uncultured bacterium. RNAcentral's name for it is "bacterial SSU rRNA". It matches the Rfam family "Bacterial small subunit ribosomal RNA", at positions 30 to 419 of the family's 1533-position model. The record is from RNAcentral.